This is a non-coding RNA of Nycticebus coucang (slow loris), 498 nucleotides long. The record is from the annotation of a RefSeq genome assembly. Lineage: Eukaryota; Metazoa; Chordata; Mammalia; Primates; Lorisidae.
GGGGAAGAGCAGCACAUUUGCAUGCAGGGCCCCUCUCUCUCCUCUGGGGCUGGAGGGGGGAUAAGAGAGACCUGCAGCGUGUCUGCCUCAGCAGAGCUCUGGGGUGUCUGCACCAUGGCCUGGACCCCACUCCUCCUCCUCAGCCUCCUCCUUCAGUGCACAGGGUCCCUCUCCCAGCCUGUGCUGACUCAGCCGCCCUCUGCAUCUGCCUCCCUGGGAGCCUCGGUCAAGCUCACCUGCACCCUGAGCAGUGGGCACAGCAGCUAUGACAUGUAUUGGUAUCAGCAACAGCCAGGGAAGGCCCCUCGGUACUUGAUGUAUGUUACCAGUUCUGGAAGCUCCUACAAGGGGGACGGGGUCCCUGACCGCUUCUCUGGCUCCGGCUCUGGGGCUGACCACUACUUGAACAUCUCCAACCUCCAGUCUGAGGACGAAGCUGAUUAUUACUGUCAGAGCUAUGACAGCAGUGGUAUUGCUCACAGUGACACAGGGAGAUGA